Glossina morsitans morsitans is the source of this 46-nucleotide non-coding RNA. NCBI's taxonomy places the organism in Eukaryota, Metazoa, Arthropoda, Insecta, Diptera, Glossinidae. The record is from Rfam.
UCAUUGGUUUUUUUCAAAACCAAGAAAAAAAACAAAGAAAUUUCUU